RNAcentral lists this ribosomal RNA (207 nucleotides) under uncultured bacterium. Its description in RNAcentral is "partial 16S ribosomal RNA". It matches the Rfam family "Bacterial small subunit ribosomal RNA", at positions 568 to 774 of the family's 1533-position model. The record is from RNAcentral.
UGUGUAGGCGGGCUUGUAAGUCCGAGGUGAAAUCUCCGAGCUCAACUUGGAAACUGCCUUGGAUACUAUAGGUCUUGAAUAUCGUUGAGGUAGGCGGAAUAUGUCAUGUAGCGGUGAAAUGCUUAGAUAUGACAUAGAACACCGAUUGCGAAGGCAGCUUGCUAAACGAUUAUUGACGCUGAGGCACGAAAGCGUGGGGAUCAAACA